GAUGAACGCUGGCGGCGUGCCUAAUACAUGCAAGUCGAGCGAACGGACGAGAAGCUUGCUUCUCUGAUGUUAGCGGCGGACGGGUGAGUAACACGUGGAUAACCUACCUAUAAGACUGGGAUAACUUCGGGAAACCGGAGCUAAUACCGGAUAAUAUUUUGAACCGCAUGGUUCAAAAGUGAAAGACGGUCUUGCUGUCACUUAUAGAUGGAUCCGCGCUGCAUUAGCUAGUUGGUAAGGUAACGGCUUACCAAGGCAACGAUGCAUAGCCGACCUGAGAGGGUGAUCGGCCACACUGGAACUGAGACACGGUCCAGACUCCUACGGGAGGCAGCAUUAGGGAAUCUUCCGCAAAGGGCGAAAGCCUGACGGAGCAACGCCGCGUGAGUGAUGAAGGUCUUCGGAUCGUAAAACUCUGUUAUUAGGGAAGAACAUAUGUGUAAGUAACCGUGCACAUCUUGACGGUACCUAAUCAGAAAGCCACGGCUAACUACGUG
This 497-nucleotide ribosomal RNA is filed under the name uncultured bacterium. Its description in RNAcentral is "partial 16S ribosomal RNA". It matches the Rfam family "Bacterial small subunit ribosomal RNA", at positions 28 to 507 of the family's 1533-position model. The record is from RNAcentral.